RNAcentral lists this transfer RNA (35 nucleotides) under Begonia grandis subsp. grandis. Its description in RNAcentral is "partial tRNA-Phe". Lineage: Eukaryota; Viridiplantae; Streptophyta; Magnoliopsida; Cucurbitales; Begoniaceae. The record is from RNAcentral.
UGGCCGGGAUAGCUCAGUUGGUAGAGCAGAGGACU